GACAGAGGGUGCAAGCGUUGUUCGGAAUUACUGGGCGUAAAGCGCGUGUAGGCGGCUCUGCAAGUCGGAUGUGAAAUCCCACGGCUCAACCAUGGAAGUGCAUUCGAAACUGCAGGGCUAGAGUCCUGGAGAGGAAGGUGGAAUGCUUGGUGUAGAGGUGAAAUUCGUAGAUAUCAAGCGGAACACCGGUGGCGAAGGCGGCCUUCUGGACAGUGACUGACGCUGAGACGCGAAAGCGUGGGGAGCAAACAGG
RNAcentral lists this ribosomal RNA (253 nucleotides) under uncultured bacterium. RNAcentral's name for it is "partial 16S ribosomal RNA". It matches the Rfam family "Bacterial small subunit ribosomal RNA", at positions 524 to 776 of the family's 1533-position model. The record is from RNAcentral.